AUACGGAGGAUCCGAGCGUUAUCCGGAUUUAUUGGGUUUAAAGGGUGCGCAGGCGGGAGAUUAAGUCGGCGGUGAAAUUUUUCAGCUCAACCGGAAAAGUGCCUUCGAAACUGGUUUCCUUGAGUGUAGAUGAAGUAGGCGGAAUUUGUGGUGUAGCGGUGAAAUGCAUAGAUAUUACGAGGAACUCCGAUUGCGCAGGCAGCUUACUAAACUACUACUGACGCUCAGGCACGAAGGCGUGGGGAUCAAACAGGAUUAGAUACCCUGGUAGUCCACGCAGUAAACGAUGAUUACUAGCUGUUUGCGAUACAAUGUAAGCGGCUGAGCGAAAGCGUUAAGUAAUCCACCUGGGGAGUACGUUCGCAAGAAUGAAACUCAAAUGAAUUGACGGGG
RNAcentral lists this ribosomal RNA (393 nucleotides) under uncultured bacterium. Its description in RNAcentral is "partial 16S ribosomal RNA". It matches the Rfam family "Bacterial small subunit ribosomal RNA", at positions 523 to 918 of the family's 1533-position model. The record is from RNAcentral.